Molecule: ribosomal RNA, 253 nt
Filed under: uncultured bacterium
Lineage: Bacteria
Description: partial 16S ribosomal RNA
Rfam family: Bacterial small subunit ribosomal RNA
Source: RNAcentral
UACAGAGGUCUCAAGCGUUGUUCGGAUUCAUUGGGCGUAAAGGGUGCGUAGGUGGCAUGGUAAGUCGGAUGUGAAAUCCCGGGGCUUAACCCCGGAACUGCAUUCGAUACUGCUGAGCUAGAGUACUGGAGAGGAGAUUGGAAUUUACGGUGUAGCAGUGAAAUGCGUAGAUAUCGUAAGGAAGACCAGUGGCGAAGGCGGAUCUCUGGACAGUUACUGACGCUGAGGAGCGAAAGCGUGGGGAGCGAACAGG